CUGAUACAGGGAGGUAGUGACAAUAAAUAACAAUGCCGGGUCUUAUAGAUCUGGCAAUUGGAAUGAGAACGAUUUAAAUCCCCUAACGAGGAUCAAUUGGAGGGCAAGUCUGGUGCCAGCAGCCGCGGUAAUUCCAGCUCCAAUAGCGUAUAUUAAAGUUGUUGCAGUUAAAAAGCUCGUAGUUGGAUUUCUGGUGGGAGUGAUCGGUCCUUCACUUUGUGUUGGAACCUGAUUGUCUCCUGCCAUCCAUGGAGAGAACUUAUCUGGCAUUAAGUUGUCGGGUAGGCAAUCUCCAUCCUUUACUGUGAAAAAACUUAGAGUGUUCAAAGCAGGCUUAUGCCGUUGAAUACAUUAGCAUGGAAUAAUAAGAUAGGACUAUGGUACUAUUUUGUUGGUUUGUGUACCAUUGUAAUGAUUAAUAGGGACAGUUGGGGGUAUUCGUAUUCCAUUGUCAGAGGUGAAAUUCUUGGA
Molecule: ribosomal RNA, 471 nt
Filed under: uncultured diatom
Lineage: Eukaryota; Bacillariophyta
Description: SSU rRNA
Rfam family: Eukaryotic small subunit ribosomal RNA
Source: RNAcentral